ACGGUCUCAGUUCAGAUUGCAGGCUGCAACUCGCCUGCAUGAAGUCGGAAUUGCUAGUAAUCGUAGGUCAGCAUACUACGGUGAAUACGUUCCCGGGCCUUGUACACACCGCCCGUCAAACCAUGAGAGUUGGCAACACCCGAAGUCGGUAGUCUAACCGCAAGGAGGACGCCGCCGAAGGUGGGGUCGAUGAUUAGGGUUAAGUCGUAACAAGGUAAC
This 219-nucleotide ribosomal RNA is filed under the name uncultured bacterium. RNAcentral describes it as "partial 16S ribosomal RNA". It matches the Rfam family "Bacterial small subunit ribosomal RNA", at positions 1282 to 1500 of the family's 1533-position model. The record is from RNAcentral.